GACGAACGCUGGCGGCGUGCUUAACACAUGCAAGUCGAACGGUGAAGCGCCUUCCUUUUUGGUGGGUGUGGAUGAGUGGCGAACGGGUGAGUAACACGUGAGUAACCUGCCCCUUUCUUCUGGAUAACCGCAUGAAAGUGUGGCUAAUACGGGAUAUUCUGGGCCUGUCGCAUGAUGGGUCUGGGAAAGAUAUUGUUUCGGUGGGGGAUGGGCUCGCGGCCUAUCAGCUUGUUGGUGGGGUGAUGGCCUACCAAGGCGGUGACGGGUAGCCGGCCUGAGAGGGUGGACGGUCACACUGGGAAGGAGACACGGCCAAGACUCCUACGGGAGGCAGCAGUGGGGAAUACUGCACGAUGGGCGCAAGCCUGAUGCAGCGACGCCGCGUGAGGGAUGGAGGCCUUCGGGUUGUGAACCUCUUACGCCAGUGAAGCAGGCCUGCCUCGUUUGUGGGUGGGUUGACGGUAGCUGGAUAAGAAGCGCCGGCUAACUACGUG
This 494-nucleotide ribosomal RNA is filed under the name uncultured bacterium. Its description in RNAcentral is "partial 16S ribosomal RNA". It matches the Rfam family "Bacterial small subunit ribosomal RNA", at positions 28 to 507 of the family's 1533-position model. The record is from RNAcentral.